Molecule: long non-coding RNA, 520 nt
Organism: Odocoileus virginianus texanus
Lineage: Eukaryota; Metazoa; Chordata; Mammalia; Artiodactyla; Cervidae
Source: RefSeq, a predicted model, not a curated record
UGCGGACUGAACAAAACCACUGGGGGCCACAUUCUGCCUGGAGUAUCCUUCAGUAAUAUCCCAUCGAAAUUUUUCUACAGGCUCUUCCAACAUGAGCCCUCACAUCUGCAAGAAUCUAGAUCUGACCGUCUUCACAGCAAAUAUGGCUGGUGGCAUUUGCAGGAGGGAGAUGACUCCGAAACAGGCCAAGGACACAAAGGAAAAGGAACAAAUGAACAACGCACCAGCAGUGGGGACCCUCCCUAAGCACCUGUUGGUGCAGAGAAAAAAAGCAAUACUGAAUAAACUAUAUAACAGGAAAACAGGAGUAUUCCAAAUGCUGAAUGUUUCCAGCAGAUGUAUCAGCCAUUCUUCAGAAUUCACUAAUUCCCAUCACAGCUUGAGUCCUGGAUGAGACAAAUCAAUGUGAAAUAUUUCUUCCUCGAUUCUUCCAGCUGAAACUGAGAGUCAAAGAACGUUGAUUAUCUCUACCUUCAGGGAAAUAUAGUGAUUUAUGGCGCAAAGCUGGCAAUUACUGCAU